This 414-nucleotide ribosomal RNA is filed under the name uncultured bacterium. RNAcentral's name for it is "bacterial SSU rRNA". It matches the Rfam family "Bacterial small subunit ribosomal RNA", at positions 917 to 1333 of the family's 1533-position model. The record is from RNAcentral.
GGGCCCGCACAAGCGGUGGAGCAUGUGGUUUAAUUCGAUGCAACGCGAAAAACCUUACCUACUCUUGACAUACUUGGGAGCUCUUGUAAUGAGAGUGUGCCUUUUGGAACCAAGAUACAGGUGCUGCAUGGCUGUCGUCAGCUCGUGUCGUGAGAUGUUCCGUUAAGUCGGAUAACGAGCGCAACCCUUACCCUUAUUUGCCAGCGAUUCGGUCGGGAACUAUAAGGGGACUGCCGGUGAUAAACCGGAGGAAGGUGAGGACGACGUCAAGUCAUCAUGGCCCUUACGAGUAGGGCUACACACGUGCUACAAUGGGGAAUACAGACGGACGCUAAGCCGCGAGGGGAGCCAAUCCGACAAACCUAGUCGUAGUCCGGAUCGGAGUCUGCAACUCGACUCCGUGAAGUCGGAAUU